CCUACGGGAGGCAGCAGUGAGGAAUAUUGGUCAAUGGACGAGAGUCUGAACCAGCGAAGUAGCGUGAAGGAUGACUGCCCUCUGGGUUGUAAACUCCUUUUAUAUGGGAAUAAAACAGGGUAUGCAUACCCUCUUGUAUGUACCAUAUGAAUAAGGAUCGGCUAACUCCGUGCCAGCAGCCGCGGUAAUACGGAGGAUCCGUGCGUUAUCCGGAUUUAUUGGGUUUAAGGGGAGCGUAGGUGGAUUGUUAAGUCAGUUGUGAAGGUUUGCGGCUCAACCGUAGUAUUGCAGUUGAAACUGGCAGACUUGAGUACAGUAGAGGUGGGCGGAAUUCGUGGUGUAGCGGUGAAAUGCUUAGAUAUCACGAAGAACUCCGAUUGCGAAGGCAGCUCACUGGACUGCAACUGACACUGAUGCGCGAAAGUGUGGGGAGCAAACAGGAUUAGAUACCCGAGUAGUC
RNAcentral lists this ribosomal RNA (460 nucleotides) under uncultured bacterium. RNAcentral's name for it is "partial 16S ribosomal RNA". It matches the Rfam family "Bacterial small subunit ribosomal RNA", at positions 338 to 795 of the family's 1533-position model. The record is from RNAcentral.